UGGACAUUUCCAAGUAUCUUUGGGAGAAUGAAUGGGUUACACCAUGUGACCAGCACUGGGAUAUGGGCUUGGUUUGUGCUGGAAACCAUCCACACAGGGAAAAACGAGCCUAUAACGAAAUAUGUCAUGGGAUUAACUUGCAGAUGUCAGUGUAGACAAAAAGCCAUUUGAAUGUACUGGUGCCACUUGGUUCAGGCAUAUUUGAGAAGUGUUAUUUGACACACAGUGAUCUUAUGGUCAGCAAAAGAGUCCAAAGCCUUGCAGAAACUGAAACUAGUGUGGAAAUGAUGGCUGUUGUAGAAAG
Lingula anatina is the source of this 304-nucleotide long non-coding RNA. Lineage: Eukaryota; Metazoa; Brachiopoda; Lingulata; Lingulida; Lingulidae. The record is from RefSeq and is a predicted model, not a curated record.